GCAUAAGUUAUGGGCAUGCAGAUCUGCAGGACAAAUGUUUCACGGAUUCAAAAAUAUUCAAAAUCUCACUACAAAUUUUCUUGAAGCACCACGCUACUACGACUCGACAUGACAACUCACACUCACAGACACCAGAUGUUUCUCCCGAACAAAAACAAAACACACUAAUAACUCUCCAUCUAGAAGACCAAAAUUACCCCAUCAAGACAGCAUGCGCGAUUGCUCGCUGACCUCGAGCAGGAGUAACCCAUGGCUAGCUAUAGUUUCCUUCAAUGGCUAACGGAUCGGCCGCGCAAAGACGGAGCUAGCUAGCCGUACAUGCAUGGAGAUGACCAAAAAGCAGUAGUGCUACUAGACCCUGGCAAGCUAGCCUCCAACGGCUAGCCAAUAAAUACUAGGCAAUAAAGCAAGUAACGCUGGCGCCGCCGACAGGCUAGGUAACGUAGACGGCGGCGGUAGCAUGCAGGUGCAGCUCUCUCUGGCCCUAGCGAGCCACGGCCCUGCAGACCAGCGGCGUGGCCAUCUCCAGCGACAUCUUCAGGCGCUCUGACAGGUCGACGCCCCCCGAGGCCGCGGUCGCGGGAGCCCACUCGAACCGGUGCAGCAGCUGGGCGAGCCAGAGGUGGACGGUGGCGAGGGCCAGCAUCUUGCCGGGGCACACGCGCCGCCCGGCGCCGAACGGGGCCAGGCGGAGGUCGCUGCCCAGCACGCUCACCUCCUCCUCCAUGAACCGCUCCGGCCGGAACAGCUCCGGCUCGGGCCACACCGCCGCGUCGUGCGCGAUGGCCCACAUGUUCACCAUCGCCGUCGUGCCGGCCGGGACGAGGUGGCCGCCGACGUGCGCGUCGUGCACGGCCAGCCGCGCCCACGAGAGGAGCGGGCCCGGCGGGUGCAUGCGCAGCGUCUCCUUGACGAUGCACUGGAUGUAGGGGAGCCUCGCCACGUCCUCGUCCAUCACGGCCCUGCCCCGCCCCACCACGGCGUCCAGCUCCGCCCGGGCCUUCGACUGGAUCUCCGGGUGCAGCACCAUCCUGGCCAUGAUCCACUCCAUCAAGAUCGCCACCGUGUCCGUCCCUCGAAAGAUCAUCUCCUGAAACGUACAGUCCGUAUUAUUAGCAAACGCACGACGACGACUUGAAUGCAAUCAGUCGUACUCUGGAUCUUUUUGUCGGUAUGCCUGUAGAGUACAGAGUUUCGCCGAGCCUUACCCAAAGAACGGCGAUCAUGUCGGACUCUGACAUCUUGUCUUCUCCGUCGAGGCCGAGGAGCACAUCGACGAAGUCGCCGGAGAGCUCAUCCGCAAUGCCUGAUCCGCUGGCGCGCCUCGCUUUGUGCUCCUGAAUGAUGUUACCGACAUACGCCUCCACCUGCCGGACUAACCUGUUGCACCGGCGUCGCACGCCCUGGAGGUCGAGCCACUUGAGGAAUGGCAGGUGAUCUGCCCAGUUGAACUUGCCGAGGAGGUCGUACCCUUCGUUUACCAUCUCCUCCACGACGACUCCUUCUUGGCUUGUGAAGUCAUCGUAGCGCUUGCCGAAGACGACGGCCAUGACGUGGUUUAGGGACGCCGCGUGCAGGAACCGCCGAGGGGCGACUUCGCCGUGGCGGGCCAUGAGGGAGGCGACGUCGCCGAGCAUGCGCGUCCCAAUAGAGGAGCGAUGGGGUGCGGAGGCCGCCACGCGGCGCGGGCCGAAGAGGUGCGCCGCGGCGAGACGGCGGAGGGCACGCCAGUGAGCGUCGCCCGACGGGGCGAAGCCCAUUGCGCGGUGGAAGAGGAG
Molecule: long non-coding RNA, 1778 nt
Filed under: Triticum aestivum (bread wheat)
Lineage: Eukaryota; Viridiplantae; Streptophyta; Magnoliopsida; Poales; Poaceae
Description: long non-coding RNA (TAES_LNC022142)
Source: RNAcentral